AUGGGGUGACUGCGUACCUUUUGUAUAAUGGGUCAGCGACUUAUAUUCUGUAGCGAGGUUAACCGUAUAGGGGAGCCGUAGGGAAACCGAGUCUUAACUGGGCGAAUGAGUUGCAGGGUAUAGACCCGAAACCCGGUGAUCUAUCCAUGGGCAGGUUGAAGGUUGGGUAACACUAACUGGAGGACCGAACCGACUAAUGUUGAAAAAUUAGCGGAUGACUUGUGGAUGGGGGUGAAAGGCCAAUCAAACCGGGAGAUAGCUGGUUCUCCCCGAAAGCUAUUUAGGUAGCGCCUCGUGAACUCAUCUUCGGGGGUAGAGCACUGUUUCGACUAGGGGGUCAUCCCGACUUACCAACUCGAUGCAAACUGCGAAUACCGAAGAAUGUUAUCACGGGAGACACACGGCGGGUGCUAACGUCCGUCGUGAAGAGGGAAACAACCCAGACCGCCAGCUAAGGUCCCAAAGUCAUGGUUAAGUGGGAAACGAAGUGGGAAGGCUCAGACAGCCAGGAUGUUGGCUUAGAAGCAGCCAUCAUUUAAAGAAAGCGUAAUAGCUCACUGGUCGAGUCGGCCCGCGCGGAAGAUGUAACGGGGCUAAACCAUGCACCGAAGCUGCGGCAGCGACACAAAGUGUUGUUGGGUAGGGGAGCGUUCUGUAAGCCUGCGAAGGUGUACUGUGAGGUAUGCUGGAGGUAUCAGAAGUGCGAAUGCUGACAUAAGUAACGAUAAUGCGGGUGAAAAACCCGCACGCCGGAAGACCAAGGGUUCCUGUCCAACGUUAAUCGGGGCAGGGUGAGUCGACCCCUAAGGCGAGGCUGAAAAGCGUAGUCGAUGGGAAACGGGUUAAUAUUCCCGUACUGGUGGUAACUGCGAUGGGGGAACGGAGAAGGCUAGGUUGUCCGGGCGACGGUCGUCCCGGUUCAAGCAGGUAGGCAGAGUGAUUAGGCAAAUCCGGUCACUUAAUGCUGAGAUGUGAUGACGAACCACUAAGGUGGUGAAGCAAUUGAUGCCCCGCUUCCAGGAAAAGCCUCUAAGCUUCAGGUUACCAACAAUCGUACCCCAAACCGACACAGGUGGUCAGGUAGAGAAUACUCAGGCGCUUGAGAGAACUCGGGUGAAGGAACUAGGCAAAAUGGUGCCGUAACUUCGGGAGAAGGCACGCUGGCGGUAGGUAAAGUCCCUCGCGGACGGCGCUGAAGCCAGUCGAAGAUACCAGCUGGCUGCAACUGUUUAUUAAAAACACAGCACUGUGCAAACACGAAAGUGGACGUAUACGGUGUGACGCCUGCCCGGUGCUGGAAGGUUAAUUGAUGGGGUUAGCGCAAGCGAAGCUCCUGAUCGAAGCCCCAGUAAACGGCGGCCGUAACUAUAACGGUCCUAAGGUAGCGAAAUUCCUUGUCGGGUAAGUUCCGACCUGCACGAAUGGCGUAAUGAUGGCCAGGCUGUCUCCACCCGAGACUCAGUGAAAUUGAACUCGCUGUGAAGAUGCAGUGUACCCGCGGCAAGACGGAAAGACCCCGUGAACCUUUACUAUAGCUUGACACUGAACAUUGAGCCUUGAUGUGUAGGAUAGGUGGGAGGCUUUGAAGUGUGGACGCCAGUCUGCAUGGAGCCAACCUUGAAAUACCACCCUUUAACGUUUGAUGUUCUAACCUAGGCCCAUAAACUGGGUCGGGGACCGUGUCUGGUGGGUAGUUUGACUGGGGCGGUCUCCUCCUAAAGAGUAACGGAGGAGCACGAAGGUUGGCUAAGCAUGGUCGGACAUCAUGCGGUUAGUGCAAAGGCAUAAGCCAGCUUGACUGCGAGAGUGACGGCUCGAGCAGGUACGAAAGUAGGUCUUAGUGAUCCGGUGGUUCUGAAUGGAAGGGCCAUCGCUCAACGGAUAAAAGGUACUCCGGGGAUAACAGGCUGAUACCGCCCAAGAGUUCAUAUCGACGGCGGUGUUUGGCACCUCGAUGUCGGCUCAUCACAUCCUGGGGCUGAAGUAGGUCCCAAGGGUAUGGCUGUUCGCCAUUUAAAGUGGUACGCGAGCUGGGUUUAGAACGUCGUGAGACAGUUCGGUCCCUAUCUGCCGUGGGCGUUGGAAGAUUGAGAGGGGUUGCUCCUAGUACGAGAGGACCGGAGUGAACGCACCACUGGUGUUCGGGUUGUCAUGCCAAUGGCAUUGCCCGGUAGCUAAGUGCGGAAGAGAUAACCGCUGAAAGCAUCUAAGCGGGAAACUUGCCUCGAGAUGAGUCUUCCCUGUCGCUUUAAGCGACCUAAAGGAACGUUUAAGACUAAGACGUUGAUAGGCUGGGUGUGUAAGCGUAGCGAUACGUUGAGCUAACCAGUACUAAUGAACCGUGAGGCUUAACCUG
Molecule: ribosomal RNA, 2356 nt
Filed under: Proteus mirabilis
Lineage: Bacteria; Pseudomonadati; Pseudomonadota; Gammaproteobacteria; Enterobacterales; Morganellaceae
Description: partial 23S ribosomal RNA
Rfam family: Bacterial large subunit ribosomal RNA
Source: RNAcentral